RNAcentral lists this long non-coding RNA (228 nucleotides) under Mytilus galloprovincialis (Mediterranean mussel). Lineage: Eukaryota; Metazoa; Mollusca; Bivalvia; Mytilida; Mytilidae. The record is from RNAcentral.
AUUUUGCCGCAUACACGAAAAGAAGUGGUCAUUUUAUAGGCAAACGCGUAUACAUCUUGUGCCGUUUAAAGAAAACAGCUGCAAGAAUCUUAUAAAUUACUAAUCGAUUGUUUUUCAGUAGCCUAUCGCUAUUUUGUUUGAAAUUAACGUGAAGAAAGUGUUGAAAUAUUAAUGAACUAAGAUCGUCAGAGUAAACUGCUUCAUCUUAUAACGGGCAUAAAAGUUGAU